This 398-nucleotide ribosomal RNA is filed under the name uncultured bacterium. RNAcentral's name for it is "bacterial SSU rRNA". It matches the Rfam family "Bacterial small subunit ribosomal RNA", at positions 362 to 776 of the family's 1533-position model. The record is from RNAcentral.
UAUUGCACAAUGGGGGAAACCCUGAUGCAGCGACGCCGCGUGAGCGAAGAAGUAUUUCGGUAUGUAGAGCUCUAUCAGCAGGGAAGAAAAAUGACGGUACCUGAGAAAGAAGCACCGGCCAAAUACGUGCCAGCAGCCGCGGUAAUACGUAUGGUGCAAGCGUUAUCCGGAUUUACUGGGUGUAAAGGGAGCGCAGGCGGUGCGGCAAGUCUGAUGUGAAAGCCCGGGGCUCAACCCCGGGACUGCAUUGGAAACUACCGAACUAGAGUGUCGGAGAGGUAAGUGGAAUUCCUAGUGUAGCGGUGAAAUGCGUAGAUAUUAGGAGGAACACCAGUGGCGAAGGCGGCUUACUGGACGAUAACUGACGCUGAGGCUCGAAAGCGUGGGGAGCAAACAGG